AGUGCCCUACACAAUACAAGAUGCCACUGUAGGGACAGGGGUGACCUCUAGCAAGGUGAUCCCUCAGCAGGCCAGACAGGGCUUCUGAAGAGAAUUUCUCUAGCUUCUUGGUAUUUCCUGCCUGCUACUUUCAAACAAGGGUCCCGUUUUUAAUGUUUUCCCAGUAAUAUUUUAUGAAUGUUAUUGCAAAGCAGCGGGUUAAAUCAACACCACAGGCCCCAUGAUCGAUAUAUGUGAUCAGGACAUUACAUCCUGGUGUUGUUGCCCCAAGUCUUGAUGUGAAUCGGACCACAAGGACAAUUCAGACAACCUGAAAUGGUGAGACAUUCUACAAAAUAAACAUCAAUGUCAUGAAAGACAAAGACUCAAGAUUUUCUGCUUAAUGGAGACUAACAAGAUGCGAUAACUGAAUGCCAGGCAUGAGCUUGGAUUUUCUUUUGGCUCAAACAGUCUUAGGACAAUUGAAGAAAUCUGAAUGAGGUCUGUAGCUAAUAGAGUUGGGUCAAU
This 507-nucleotide long non-coding RNA is filed under the name Pongo abelii (Sumatran orangutan). RNAcentral's name for it is "lincRNA". The record is from RNAcentral. Lineage: Eukaryota; Metazoa; Chordata; Mammalia; Primates; Hominidae.